CAAAAAGUUAAUUGAACUCUCGAAAAGCGUUUCUGUAAUGUUGCAACUUAACGAUAAUCGGUACAAAAGCGGCGACAGGAACAGAGAUGGCGGCAAAUUUCGCCCCGCUCGCACUGCUACCAGCGAUCGCCGGCGGCGAUCUGACUUAUGCCCAGGGCGAGGGAAGGUUUUCCACCGUCCCCGUCCUCAAUUACUAGGAAGAUCUCUAAAUCUCUCGCUCCCUCAACAAGUUACUUCUGUUUCUUCAUCUCCCCAAGAAUAUAUAGACGAUUAAAAUUGCAUACCUGAGUGCUUAGAGAGUGGGUACUGGCGACAAAGAAGAUGGUAUCGCUGAAGUAGUUAUUGCUCAGGAAGCGGCUCGUUGAACUCCAGGUACCCCAACUUUCUCGACGCUUUAAGCUAUAUAUUCUUAUUUUCAGUUCUUAAAAACCACACUUUUAGUUCCUUAUCUCGACCUAUCACAAGAUAAUUGUUAUUUGUCGCAAAUUUUUUUGAUUCAAUAUAAGUUUUCUUAUUAAAUUAUCAAAUGGACUAGCAUUACGGGCUGCUUGGGAUCCGUAUGUAAUUUCUUACUUAAUGCACCUAUCACAGAGAAUUUCCUAGUUUAUGUCUUGUUUAAUCUUGGUAACAAAUGGAAACUUGCUUGAGGAAUAAUGAAAUAAUGACUUCUGAGGGUCUUUACAUGGGGAUCACCAAUGUGCUAAACUAAUUGGAGUGGCUUCCUCUCCUACAUUCACCCAUUGCAUUUAUAUUUUCUAUUGUUUAUGUUAUCCCUUUUGCAUUUUAUCAGAUACCUUUGGAGGCCGUGAACUAGACCACAGUUAAGUAGUUUGUAUAUUCCAAAUUCAAAUGCAUGAUGAUAUUAUUCAUGAUUUCAAUGCCUAUUGAGAUAAAAACUCAAAUCUCCACUUUCCACAUGACUCCAUGUUGGAUCCAUGCUGUGGUAUUCAGAGAAAUGACUUCCCUUCCGUUUAAGUCAAUUGCACGACCAUAGAUCACCACCAUACUUGCUUUCUUUUUGCUAGCCCAAUUCUGUGGUGCUCCAGUGGGACUUGAAGCAUGUAUCCUGUCAUGGCCUUGCAGGCCUGGAGCACGACAGAUGGCAAUGUAUAGAAUCGUAAAUGCCUCUUGCAGUUCUUGUCUGUUUGACGCUAACUCGGGCUUUGGGGGGGUCAAGAAUUAAGUAGGGGAGGGGAGGGAAGGGAUUGUGAAAUCUCUUCACCACAGUGGGGAUAUGAAAGUGUGAUAUACUGACCUGUUUAUAAACCAUGUAGCAUGGGGAUUGUAGUUAAUUCCUCUCCAUUUCUCGCAUUUGCAACAACUUAAUGAACACGGGACUAUGGUUCUCAGUUAUGAAAUUUGUGAUGUGAGCACUUGGUAGGACCUCAUCGUAAAUUAUUACUUCACUUGCAGAUGGAAAUGAUUAGGCUUGUAUACAAGUGAUGUUACAAACUAAUGGCAUUUGUCGUGCCUUUUCAUCAAUUUAGCGGGAAUGCUUAUAUUUAUGUUUUUGAUUUAAUAAUGUAAGGAAUAAGCUCUGCACGGACAAUUUUCAUUAGAAAGAAACUAUGCAAGGCAUAUUCCCCUCUCCCAAUACCUUACUUCUAUGUUUUUUCGGGGGUCACGAUUCAAUUUUUGAGGUCACAUCAUUUAUUGGUGACAAGUUAUCGGUCACAUAUUAUUUAUUGAUGACAAAUUAUCCAAUUUAUUCAAAUAAUUGGUCACAAAUCAACCAAUUUGUCACAAUUAACCAAAUUAUUGAUCUCAAAGACCCCUGCCUCAUACUAUCAACCCACAAAUUGGUCACAUAUUAUUUAUUGGUCACAAAUCAACUAAUUUGUCACCGUCAACCAAAUUAUUGAUCUCAAACACCCCUGCCCCAUGCCAUCAACCCACAACCACCACCAUUGCCAACAUCACCACCACCACCACCACCACCAUAUUAUCACAAUCAACAUCACAACCACCACCACCCAAACACCACUAAAAAGUCAGAUCUGAAAUUAUCCAUCAUCGCUACGACCACCACUAACAUCAACAUCACCACCACCACCACCACCACCGCAAUGGCAAAAACACCACCACAGUGCAUCGCACACCCCCAAAACUUCGAUUAAGUAAAUUAGAGGAAAAAACGAACCCAAACCCCUAAAAAUAUCGUCGCUAUAUCCUAACUUCACCCAUCACCCCACUGCUACUAGCAUCACCGCACACACCACAACACACAGAGAUCACCACCGCACAGAUCCACACACACCACAGCAUACACAUAUCACCACCACACACCACAGGUCACUGCACUACCACAGAAUUACACCCUUUUUUUUGUCAAACACCGUGAUCAACAAUCACCAAGAAGUAGCGGCGCUCGUCGUUGCUUAUAAUAGACUCAUCGUACAUCUUCUUAAUAGAUUUGUAGCAGCGAUGUCUGCUUCAGAGUGACGAGACCAGCGGCUUCGCAUUGGCUCUGAACUGACGAGACCAGUGGCUUCGCAUUGGCUCUGACUACUUCAGAGCGAUGCUGCUGUGGUGGUGGCGUCUUGAGUGUCGUGUCGCAGUGCCAAUAGUAUAUCUGGCGGUGAUGUGUGAUAAAGAGAGAAUGGAGGGAUAUAGAGAGAGACAAGGGAAAUAAUAGAGAGAGAAAUGAUAGGAAUUUUUUCUUUUCUUUUUUGGGAGCAAAAACCUAGUAUUUCAUUAAUUCAAGUUGCCACAAACUAUAGACGACACAAACCAAGGAAUACAUUCAAUCCAAACUCUAAUUCCAAGAUAAAUGACAUCAUAAGAUGCAAUGAAGUGUGCUACCUUAUUCCCCUUGCAAGUAACAUUACAACACGACCACAAAUCGUAUCUUUAAACAUGGAUAAAUUUUAAAUAAAAUAGAGGGGUUUGGAGGACAGGAAAAUCAGAUCUGAGGAUUGAACGGCCCGUUGUGAGUCACUCUCCACCAGGGCCACUUGGAAUCCAUAGCUUUAUGCAAAAAUAAGUCUAUCUAACUGCUAUAGCCUUGGCAUCUUCAACAGAAAGGUCCCAAACUUCAUGUUUAAGGUCCCAAACUUCAUGUUUCACUUGGACACCCAUAACUACUCCAGCAUUGUCUCUCCAAUAACAGCCCCAGUGGUGAUAAAACUCACCCCACUGAUCACAGCCGUGUUGGUGUCUUCAAUAAAUCAGUUCAUGAAAGAAAAAUGUACCAGUGCACUGAGUGAUAUAAAUUUCUAUUCUAACAGUUUUAGGCAGGUGCAUGCCAUUACCACCUGCUACAUACUAUCUAGCCCCUAUUUGGCCCCCAUUUUCUAAAAUUCACUUUCUCCUAAAACUCAUUUUGUACGACAUGUUCCUUGGAACUCGCAACUUUUAUCAACUUUUCAACAACAUUUCGUCAAAUUUUAUCAAAAUCUACUAAAAAUCUUAUUUUUGGCUAAAUCAAACAGGGGCCUAAUUAAUGACUGGAAAUUUAUGAGCUAUUUAGUAGGAAAAUCAGAAAGAAUGCUGUGCUGUGGAAAAGCUUAAUUGUCUCUUCUUCAUUAUAGAACUAUGAAAGUUUCCAUUUUAGUUUGUCCAUAUCAGGUUGCUUUAAUGCAGCAGUUGUGAAUUGACCUUGUGUCAUUCAUAUUCCCAUCUUCUCUCUACCUCAGAAUAAAUUUCUACGCUUGGAGAUUAUUGAACAAAAUGUUCUCCCUUGACAUAGGAUGCUGAAUGAAAUUGUUGAUCAAUGCCGGACAAUUUUAACACAUUAUUUGACAGAAUGCCGCAUGGCAUUCUAUUAUUUGCCUGUUUGAAAAACAUAACAAAUUUUGCACUAAUGAAAACCUAGUAACACCCUUGUCAAAGGGGUGGGCACCAAAUUCUGGAAAAAAAGCUUAAUUCAUUGUUGAUCCACGUGUUAUUCAUGCUUUUGUCCUUGUCUGUUGGAGUUGGGCAUCUCUUCCAUCUAAUUUGAUGAUUUAGCGACCAGUCACCGUAAAUUUCUCUAAUACCUUGGUUGCCUUUAAGUACUGGUCCUUUUAGAUGUCUCCUCAUUUGUAUUAUGUUUUUUUUUUUUUUUUUUGGCUAAAAAUAUUUUCUAUUCUAACGGGAACCACAAUGGUGAUGUUCCAUAUUUUUUAUAAUAUUUGGAAUGGUAUUUUAAUUUUAUAUUAAAAUUUUAAAUAUUAUUGUCAAAUUUUAAAUAUUUUCUAUUUAUAUCGCUGUGUUUUUCAGUUUUGGUGAUGGGCUGAUGGUGAAAAUUUGUUAAAUUGCAGAUGUUGAAUAACCAUGGAAGAAAAAGAUUCAUAGAAAAUUGUACAAUAGUGAACUUCAGAUUUUCCAUAAUUGCUACAUUUUGUGACUUUUAUGAUAAGUCAAUUUGUUGAAAAAUAUUUACGUUAUUAAUGGUUUGAAAUCAAGAGUUGAGGUAUACAGAAUAUUCUCUCAAGUCGCCUCUGCAAGACUAAUAUAUAGUUCAAAAAAAGAGAGAUCCUCCAGAGAGUUUAAAUAUUACUUGCUGCCUAGUAUACUAAUUGUGUUGUCGCCUUAUCGGAGCUAAUGUUGAUACAAUGCCUUUCUUUUUUUUUUUUGCAGACAGAUGAUAGAACUUUGGGACUUUAACAUGAUAAAUGGGAAUUGUUUCACGUGUUGAAUUGCAGCUAUCUCGCAAAUCUUCAGCAACAUUUGAAAGCUAUGAUGCAUCGACAUAGACACGUGUGUCCGACAUGAUAUGUGUCGGAUACGUCGACAAGCGAUUUUUCAAAAAGUCAUGUUGAUUAAAUUUUUUAAAAUUCUUCAUUUAUAUUGUGUAAAUUUAGUUAUAUACUUGUUAUUAAUUACUCUUGUUGUAAUUUUUUUAACAUGAGUACAUAUUUGUUACUCAUUGAUAAUUUUGAGUUAAAAUAUAUAAUAUUUUUUAAUAAAAAGGGAAAAGGGAAUUUAUGGUAGAGUGUUCGAGAAAUGUCGAUACCGACACGUGUUGGAUUCAGACAUAGACACACUACCCUAGUUGAAGUAUCCGUGUUACAUAGUUUGAAAGCCUCCCUCAAGAGGCUUUAAUGCAACCAUCUCUAGCUUCUGAUAAAUAAAUUAAUAAGUUUUGCUUGCACCUUAUUGCUUUUUCUCUUGUAAAUGGCAAGAACUUCCAUCUCGAUGCUACAAUACAAGAUUGUUCUAUUAUUUUCAUAUUAUUGUCAGUGCUGGCAGCUUAGACAUUUUGGGUUUUCUUAUUUCAU
This 5201-nucleotide long non-coding RNA is filed under the name Olea europaea subsp. europaea. The record is from RNAcentral. Lineage: Eukaryota; Viridiplantae; Streptophyta; Magnoliopsida; Lamiales; Oleaceae.